CUAGAAGACAAAAAGAAAUCCCCGAUUGCUUCCUUCGCUGCCCCUCUCUCCUGUUUCUCUUCUCUGGAUUCCCCAAGCCAAAGCCAGCCGCCGCCGACUUCCCAACCCCGGCCUCCACUCCACCGCCGGCGGCCUCUCCCCCUCUCCCUGGACGCAUAUCCACUCGAGCAGCACAGCCCACGGUCAGAUCCGCCCCUCCGUCCUCGCGCCAGAAACCCUAGCCGUCCGGCGAUGGCGACCGACCGCAGGCACAGGCCUCGACGACGGUGGCGCCACGGAGCGGAGCUUCCUCUGCCCGGGACGCCGCUCAUGUGCUCGUCAAGGUCCGCUGCUCCUUCCUCCAGUCCCAGACCCAGGAUAAGCAGCAGCAGCAUGAAGUGAACUUUAAAACAGGCUAUUCAAGCAGGAGUAUGUGUAGACAUAUUUGUUGUAACUGAUGAAUACACCGAUUUGGCUUCGUCGAAGUGUUAAAGUAUUUAAAGUGGUGGCUCAUUAUUCUCUAUGCAAACUCGGAUGAUUCCACACUUGACCAGGACAUGUGUCGCCUGUUGAGUAGAUCCUAUGCAUUUGGUUGUGUUCUCAGGCUGAGAACAUCACAAGAUUUCGAUCCUAGCCACUCUCCAAAGGGAGUGCAUGGUUCUACUAGCUUAUUUGUGUUCGAGCCUCCAACAGGCUAUGGAUGCCCCAAGAUUUGAAGCAUGUUACACAAAAAUACAUGAGUUCAUGGGGGAGCACGUCAAUAAGGCUGCUGCAUGAGUUCAUGUCAUCGGCAGUGGCUCGCUCGUCAACAAGGCCGAUGAAAUCAGGGGGAGCACGAGCGUGUCCGGGGACGGGCACACUUUAUGCUUCUUUAAUUCACUGCAGCAAAAUACUAACAGCAUCAACAUCGACAGCGUUCGUCACUCCCCUGACGGCGUCUCCGGUGCCAAAGGUGUCCGAUCGAACUCAGUUGGAGGCCAAACAGGUUCGGCUCUCGGACAUGCCAUCAAUAACGCUCGAUGACACCGAUACGCAGACUGUAAGUUUACCCCCUCAGCCCAUAUUGGUGUGAGACACCCUGCAUUUACAUGAUAUUGCUAGGAACGCGUGCAAAUUGCAUAAUUUGUUAUACAUGCUUACUUGAUCACCGAUGUGCUGUUAAUUGGACCUCAAGAAUAGAGAUGACACCUUACCAUAGGCAGCUCUUAAUUAUGUGCGCGUUAAUUCAAUUCUGAAAGUUGAUUCAAGUCUAUAGUGCUUCAAGUAGAUUCAUAGAAGCAAUUCCGUUAGUAUGUGAACAAAAACCUCAUCUUAUAUGUGUGGCCGGAGUUGCAGAAUAUGAAUAGGGGAAUGAUCAUAGAUGCCAACACCUACAGUGUGAUUUAUCUUGAUAGAGGUGCAAUGGAUUCGUAAGUAGUUUUGAUGUUUUUUCUAGAUAGCUCAAGUACUUAAGCUUCUGCAGUCAUGAAAAACAAAAGAAGGGACCAGUAGUCAGGUUCCAUUAAUCCUUCUAUAGGUGUUCUCUUUGAUGCCUUUCCCCCUUCAUUACCAUGACAAUGAUGCUUUCUCUGUUAACCUUCUCGGUGGUGUUGGGCGCUGUGCUCUUGACCUUGAAAGUGUAUUUGCAACUUUACUCAUAAUACCUUUGUGUGAUAGUGAGGCAAUUUAGUUGCAUGCCUUCAGUUACAAAAAAAGUCCUUGAAAUAAAAAAGAAAGAAAAAGUAACAAGAGUUGUUGAAAAUACGAAUGGGUCAUCAAUGGUCAUAGAACAGGAGAGCAAUUUGAAUGGACAAUGGAAACAUUUGUAAAAGAAGCAGCUAAACGGAGGCCGCUCGCCCAGAGUGUCUCGGAGGAGGAUGUCACACUGAUUACGAGUCGAGGGACUAGUCGAGACUAGUCGACAGACUAGUCUAUGAGUCGCAACUUGAGUGUCGACUACAAAUCUCGUGUAGACUACUUGGUGUAGUCGAGCAGUCGACAGACUAGUCUGGACUAGUCGAGCUAUUUGAGUCGAGCGACUCAAAAUUUUGAGGGGAUAAGUCACCCAGCCUGGCCGGAGCUCGUGCUCGGGCGGCAGCCAUGGCCGUGACAUGUAGGCGCGCGCGGCCCUGAGACGAGAGAGAAGGAAGAGAGAUAGAGGAGAGGAGAGGAGGAGGCAUGGAGGUGGUCGGCGGCAGCGGCAGGGGCCGGUGGAAGGCAGCUGGAGGCGCGGGUCACGCACGCGUGCUCCCGUGUGUGAUGGUGCUGGCGGCGGCAAUGGGAUCGAUCGGGAGCUAGGGUUCCAGUGACGGGAGCUAAGUAGGCUGGCCACUUGGGCCCAAAUGGGCCAGCUGGGGGGUGUUGUGUGGUGCUGGGCUGGGCCUGGCGAGCGUUGCCCAACACUUCUGGUUUUAUUGCAUACUGUACUGUUUAUAUAUACUACUACUAGUAGUUAUUAACAAUAGUUGAGUACUACAGUACCAUGUCGACUAGUCCAGCACUAGUCUAGACUAGUCACGAUUAGUCUAUGAGUCUCAACCUCGGAACGACUCGUCGACUCGUAAACCUUGGGAUGUCACUGCCGCUGGAUUGGCGGAUGACUACUUCUCGGUGGCGUAUGGAUGUCGCACUGUAUGGAUCUUGAUCUGUAGUUGGAUAGUUCCUGACCUCAUUCUAGGAGGCUGAUUGGAGCCUGGUACUUCACUUUUUUCCUUACUGAUAAAUGCUCAUGUUCAUUAAUUUGGUAAUGCUCAUGACAUUGCACAUGAGUUGCUGCGAGCCAAGCGAUAGAAAAGUUUGAAACUAAUGCUGCAGUUGAUGUUUCUUUUUGUUCUUCUUCAUGACAUUUUUUUGGGUUCAGCAUGUUGAUAAGAACUACUCCCUCUGUUUCCAAAUAUAAGUCUUUUUAGAGAUUUCAAUGUGGACUAGAUACGGAUGUAUAUAGACGGAUUUUAGAGUGAGAUUCACCCAUUCCACCGUAUGUAGUCCAUAUUGAAAUCUUCUAACAAGACUUAUAUUUAGGAACGGAGGGAGUACUUUGUUUGUAGUCUUUGUACAACCUGCUUUGUUCAGAAGAAUGUUCUAUCAGGCAACCAUGUCUGAUAUGUUCACAUGACUUCUUUCAUGUGGCCGUUCCUCACAUUCCUUUGCUUCCAAGUUCCAACUAUUCCAGUCAGCUGCAAUGAAGCCCUCCAUAGAGAAGGGUUUGCAGAUAAUGAUCUUGGCAUCCCAGAUAAGCAGGUCGGGGACAAAGCCAGUGCCGAGGGGGAUUUCAAUGGAUCACCAACACGAGAAACUGAAAUGGCAGGACCAGAAAAGAUGGUCCCAGAUCUCACUGCAGCAGGAUGUGCAAGAACACAUCAAUGAUCAUCUGUGAGACUAACACUGAAAUUUUGUUGAUGGAGCAUUAGCUCUGCUAUUUAGCUUCUAGAGUACAAUGACUUGUACGUACAACUAUAACAGCUAGCAGCAUGGUUUAUCCCCUUCUGGUUCUACUAUUUCUCUAGAGUGAUGGCAUAGGAAGAGCAUGUGUAUAUGUUGAGGUUAGUCUUCUGAAACUAAUGCUGCAGAUGUUCUUUGUAGACUCAGCAUGUGUAUUUAUUUUAUUUUUACUUCUUUGUGACGUUUGUUGGUUUGGCAUGUGG
Molecule: ribosomal RNA, 3602 nt
Filed under: Triticum aestivum (bread wheat)
Lineage: Eukaryota; Viridiplantae; Streptophyta; Magnoliopsida; Poales; Poaceae
Description: partial small subunit ribosomal RNA
Source: RNAcentral